UGGGGAAUAUUGCACAAUGGGCGCAAGCCUGAUGCAGCCAUGCCGCGUGUGUGAAGAAGGCCUUCGGGUUGUAAAGCACUUUCAGCGGGGAGGAAGGCGGUGAGGUUAAUAACAUCAUCGAUUGACGUUACCCGCAGAAGAAGCACCGGCUAACUCCGUGCCAGCAGCCGCGGUAAUACGGAGGGUGCAAGCGUUAAUCGGAAUUACUGGGCGUAAAGCGCACGCAGGCGGUCUGUCAAGUCGGAUGUGAAAUCCCCGGGCUCAACCUGGGAACUGCAUUCGAAACUGGCAGGCUAGAGUCUUGUAGAGGGGGGUAGAAUUCCAGGUGUAGCGGUGAAAUGCGUAGAGAUCUGGAGGAAUACCGGUGGCGAAGGCGGCCCCCUGGACAAAGACUGACGAUCAGGUGCGAAAGCGUGGGGAGCAAACAGG
Molecule: ribosomal RNA, 429 nt
Filed under: Chloroflexota bacterium
Lineage: Bacteria; Bacillati; Chloroflexota
Description: Chloroflexi bacterium partial 16S ribosomal RNA
Rfam family: Bacterial small subunit ribosomal RNA
Source: RNAcentral